AGCUUGCUUUCUCAGCGAGUGGCGAACGGGUGAGUAACCCGUGAGGAACCUGCCUCAAAGAGGGGGACUUCAGUUGGAAACGACUGCUAAUACCGCAUAAGCCCACGACCCGGCAUCGGGUAGAGGAAAAAGGAGCAAUCCGCUUUGAGAUGGCCUCGCGUCCGAUUAGCUAGUUGGUGAGGUAAUGGCCCACCAAGGCGACGAUCGGUAGCCGGACUGAGAGGUUGAACGGCCACAUUGGGACUGAGACACGGCCCAGACUCCUACGGGAGGCAGCAGUGGGGAAUAUUGCACAAUGGGGGAAACCCUGAUGCAGCGACGCCGCGUGGAGGAAGAAGGUCUUCGGAUUGUAAACUCCUGUUGUUGAGGAAGAUAAUGACGGUACUCAACAAGGAAGUGACGGCUAACUACGUGCCAGCAGCCGCGGUAAAACGUAGGUCACAAGCGUUGUCCGGAAUUACUGGGUGUAAAGGGAGCGCAGGCGGGAAGACAAGUUGGAAGUGAAAUCCAUGGGCUCAACCCAUGAACUGCUUUCAAAACUGUUUUUCUUGAGUAGUGCAGAGGUAGGCGGAAUUCCCGGUGUAGCGGUGGAAUGCGUAGAUAUCGGGAGGAACACCAGUGGCGAAGGCGGCCUACUGGGCACCAACUGACGCUGAGGCUCGAAAGUGUGGGUAGCAAACAGGAUUAGAUACCCUGGUAGUCCACACCGUAAACGAUGAUUACUAGGUGUUGGAGGAUUGACCCCUUCAGUGCCGCAGUUAACACAAUAAGUAAUCCACCUGGGGAGUACGACCGCAAGGUUGAAACUCAAAGGAAUUGACGGGGGCCCGCACAAGCAGUGGAGUAUGUGGUUUAAUUCGACGCAACGCGAAGAACCCUUACCAAGUCUUGACAUC
Molecule: ribosomal RNA, 896 nt
Filed under: uncultured Oscillospiraceae bacterium
Lineage: Bacteria; Bacillati; Bacillota; Clostridia; Eubacteriales; Oscillospiraceae
Description: bacterial SSU rRNA
Rfam family: Bacterial small subunit ribosomal RNA
Source: RNAcentral